GAACGCGAAGAACCUUACCUGGCCUUGACGUAGUAGAGACUUUCCAGAGAUGGAUUGGUGCCUUCGGGAAUCUACAUACAGGUGCUGCAUGGCUGUCGUCAGCUCGUGUCGUGAGAUGUUGGGUUAAGUCCCGCAACGAGCGCAACCCUUUUCCUUACUUGCCAGCAUUUCGGAUGGGAACUUUAAGGAUACUGCCAGUGACAAACUGGAGGAAGGCGGGGACGACGUCAAGUCAUCAUGGCCCUUACGGCCAGGGCUACACACGUGCUACAAUGGUCGGUACAAAGGGUUGCUACACAGCGAUGUGAUGCUAAUCUCAAAAAGCCGAUCGUAGUCCGGAUCGCAGUCUGCAACUCGACUGCGUGAAGUCGGAAUCGCUAGUAAUCGCGGAUCAGAAUGCCGCGGUGAAUACGUUCCCGGGUCUUGUACACACC
This 434-nucleotide ribosomal RNA is filed under the name uncultured bacterium. RNAcentral describes it as "bacterial SSU rRNA". It matches the Rfam family "Bacterial small subunit ribosomal RNA", at positions 957 to 1391 of the family's 1533-position model. The record is from RNAcentral.